RNAcentral lists this ribosomal RNA (497 nucleotides) under uncultured bacterium. RNAcentral describes it as "partial 16S ribosomal RNA". It matches the Rfam family "Bacterial small subunit ribosomal RNA", at positions 28 to 507 of the family's 1533-position model. The record is from RNAcentral.
GAUGAACGCUGGCGGCGUGCCUAAUACAUGCAAGUCGAGCGAACAGACGAGGAGCUUGCUCCUCUGACGUUAGCGGCGGACGGGUGAGUAACACGUGGAUAACCUACCUAUAAGACUGGGAUAACUUCGGGAAACCGGAGCUAAUACCGGAUAAUAUAUUGAACCGCAUGGUUCAAUAGUGAAAGACGGUUUUGCUGUCACUUAUAGAUGGAUCCGCGCCGCAUUAGCUAGUUGGUAAGGUAACGGCUUACCAAGGCAACGAUGCGUAGCCGACCUGAGAGGGUGAUCGGCCACACUGGAACUGAGACACGGUCCAGACUCCUACGGGAGGCAGCAGUAGGGAAUCUUCCGCAAAGGGCGAAAGCCUGACGGAGCAACGCCGCGUGAGUGAUGAAGGUCUUCGGAUCGUAAAACUCUGUUAUUAGGGAGGAACAAAUGUGUAAGUAACUAUGCACGUCUUGACGGUACCUAAUCAGAAAGCCACGGCUAACUACGUG